GUUUAAGUAAUUUAAGUUGAAAAUACUAGUCUUGUAAACUAGCAAUAAGAGUAAUCUUAUUAAACA
RNAcentral lists this transfer RNA (66 nucleotides) under Bifidoprionus rufus. Its description in RNAcentral is "tRNA-Thr". It matches the Rfam family "tRNA". Rfam says of the family: Transfer RNA (tRNA) molecules are approximately 80 nucleotides in length. Their secondary structure includes four short double-helical elements and three loops (D, anti-codon, and T loops). The record is from RNAcentral. Lineage: Eukaryota; Metazoa; Arthropoda; Insecta; Coleoptera; Cerambycidae.